UACGUAGGUGGCAAGCGUUGUCCGGAUUUACUGGGCGUAAAGAGCGCGCAGGCGGUCGGAUCAGUCGAAUGUGAAAGCCCCCGGCUCAACUGGGGAGGGUCAUUCGAUACUGUCCGACUCGAAGGCAGGAGAGGGAAGCGGAAUUCCCGGUGUAGUGGUGAAAUGCGUAGAUAUCGGGAGGAACACCAGUGGCGAAGGCGGCUUUCUGGCCUGUUCUUGACGCUGAGGCGCGAAAGCUAGGGGAGCGAACGGGG
Molecule: ribosomal RNA, 254 nt
Filed under: uncultured bacterium
Lineage: Bacteria
Description: partial 16S ribosomal RNA
Rfam family: Bacterial small subunit ribosomal RNA
Source: RNAcentral